This 432-nucleotide ribosomal RNA is filed under the name uncultured bacterium. Its description in RNAcentral is "partial 16S ribosomal RNA". It matches the Rfam family "Bacterial small subunit ribosomal RNA", at positions 29 to 506 of the family's 1533-position model. The record is from RNAcentral.
AACGAACGCUGGCGGCAUGCCUAACACAUGCAAGUCGAACGAGACCUUCGGGUCUAGUGGCGCACGGGUGCGUAACGCGUGGGAACCUGCCUUUAGGUUCGGAAUAACUCAGAGAAAUUUGAGCUAAUACCGGAUGAUGUCUUCGGACCAAAGAUUUAUCGCCUUUAGAUGGGCCCGCGUUGGAUUAGCUAGUUGGUGGGGUAAAGGCCUACCAAGGCGACGAUCCAUAGCUGGUCUGAGAGGAUGAUCAGCCACGCUGGGACUGAGACACGGCCCAGACUCCUACGGGAGGCAGCAGUGGGGAAUAUUGGACAAUGGGCGAAAGCCUGAUCCAGCAAUGCCGCGUGAGUGAUGAAGGCCUUAGGGUUGUAAAGCUCUUUUACCCGAGAUGAUAAUGACAGUAUCGGGAGAAUAAGCUCCGGCUAACUCCGU